UACGGAGGGGGCGAGCGUUAUUCGGAAUUACUGGGCGUAAAGCGUGCGUAGGCGGCCCUGUUAGUCGGAGGUGAAAUCCCGGAGCUCAACUCCGGAACUGCCUCCGAGACGGCUGGGCUUGAGUGAAGGAGAGGAGAGCGGAAUUCCCAGUGUAGAGGUGAAAUUCGUAGAUAUUGGGAAGAACACCGGUGGCGAAGGCGGCUCUCUGGCCUUUAACUGACGCUGAGGCACGAAAGCGUGGGGAGCAAACAGG
This 253-nucleotide ribosomal RNA is filed under the name uncultured bacterium. Its description in RNAcentral is "partial 16S ribosomal RNA". It matches the Rfam family "Bacterial small subunit ribosomal RNA", at positions 524 to 776 of the family's 1533-position model. The record is from RNAcentral.